This is a non-coding RNA of Rhopilema esculentum, 3208 nucleotides long. NCBI's taxonomy places the organism in Eukaryota, Metazoa, Cnidaria, Scyphozoa, Rhizostomeae, Rhizostomatidae. The record is from RefSeq and is a predicted model, not a curated record.
AGUUAAAAGCAACUGCAGUUCAAAGGAGAAAGAUACAUUCGGCAACGAACUGCGGAGGAGACAAAUGUAUUCAUUGGUUGCCAAGGCAACAGGACUCUGCUGAUGACGCACUUAAUUUGAGGCCGCUCAAUCACUUCCGCGCUGAAACUGCUUAGGUAGGCUUUUUUCUGGUGCACCGGAAAGUAGGUCAGAAGAAGUUUCCUGUUAGACUUUUAAGACGCCUUUCGUUCUUUUUUAAUACCCAUCUUGCUUCUACGGUACUUGAUCCUUUAUUGACAAAUUAAAGUGUUUAUGCAUUCGAUUUUUUGUGAUUUUUACUUUUCAAAGCUUUUUCUUUUUCGAUGCAUAUUUUGCCAUACUUUUUUCUUCCUCAAGAAGAGGUUCGCACCCCCGGAAUAUACGAUAUGAUCUUAUCAAAGCUGGCAAAAACAAAGAUUUGCUGAUCAUCGCAGACUGUCGAAUCGACCAACAUUUUUAAUUUCUUCAUUUCUUUUUGACACUUCAUCAGUGUCUUUGAGAAUGCUUUCUAAAAAGGCCGUCGUUAGGUAACCGAGCUUGCAUAAAAAGCCACAAUGUAUAACGAAAAUUACACUCUUUUAUAUAUAGGACUAGGCCUUUCCACCGAAGGUCUCGGUAUUCGGUUACCUGUUUCACUAUGUAACGGUUGGCUUUAGUGUGUGAUAUGUUUCGUAAUAUCUCAGUUGCAUGUUAUAGUCACAUGUGCUGUUGAGUCCUGUUGUUUCAGUUAACGUCUUUCUAAUGGCAAUGUGUUUGUCUGUCAACAUGUAUUGUGACGUUCGUAUUGUUCUCUUAAUAACCUUCCGUCAAUGUUCACUUCACUUUAGAGUUAGUCUUGCUGUUGAACGAAUAAAGACAACAUCAGAAUAGAGUCUCUCUCGUGUUCUACUUAUUCGGGGCUUAGGCCCAUUGGCCUAGCCCCAUCGUAUCUUCACCAUCCUAAGAAGAACCCGACUAACAUAAAACGUUACAACUAUUCGGUUAGCUGAAGCACAAAGCGAAUAUUCGGUUACAAGCGAAUAGUUCGAAUAGUACAAUUAUUCGGUUGGAGACUAUGAGUGCGAAUAACCUAACUGAUAGAGGUAACAAUGGGUUACUGACUACUCGAGUAACGGAUCAUUCAUUGCUUUCGAUCAUUGAAUAGCAUCUGAUCGCAUAAACCAAUUCUACUUACGGCCUCGCUUUGGAAAUUUCUCCAAAUUUUAUUAUACGACUUUUUUAAGCUCAGAUUUGGUUUUAUCACAAUAGAUUUAGGCUGGAUACAAUUUUUUAUUGUGUUUGUACUUGCAAUUUAGAUUUUAUGGAGAAAUGAAGUUUGAAAACUUGCAAGGGAUUUGACCGCAUUCCGGGUGAAACUAUACCCCCUAGUAGCCAAUCACGUUCAAAUCUCUUAUAAAAUUUUUAUCUUUAUGUCGUCAUAAAAUCACUAUCGUGAGCAAUACCAUAAUGAAAAUUUGCAAGUAGACUAAAAUCAUUGCUCUUAAUCCGAAUCUGAGGUUAAAAAUUUUGUGCAAAAGAAAAUCGCCCAUUACUUUUUUUUAUAAGAACCAGUAAAUUUAAGUUCAGGCUGACUGUUGUCGAAAAUCUAAGGCUGGAUUGUUCUUAAUUUGUUCUUAAAUUAAGAGGGUUAAGCAGUGCUAUUGCUAGCUUUUCCGCUCUAAGGAAGUGUUCAGGCCUCAUUUGCCAACAAAGUGAGUGAGACAGCCUUAAUUUGCUGACAAAUUUGAAUAUUCACCUAAAAAGCACCCACACAUCGCUAAAAAUCCUCGAUUUUGAGAAAAACGUUGUUCAAAAUUGCAUUUUGCAGAAGCUCAGCCUCAGCAUGUUCUUAAUUUGUUCUUAACUUUUGACCAGUUUUGAGACUCGCGUUCUUAUAAAAUUGUUCUUAUAAAAAAGAGUGGCUGACUCUUGGCUUAUGAUGCUUCAAAAUCUUUACAACCCUACGAAGCAUCAUUAAAGUAACACGACAUAUAAUAAUCUUAAUUAGCGAUCAUUAUGCAGCAGAAAGAAAAAAUACGAUGUUGGAUUUCUCAUUGACUAUAAGUGAUAAAAAUUCUAUAAUAAAGAAAUAAAAAUUGAGCAUUGUUGAAUAGAGGCAGCAAACAUGGUUACAAUGUCGAUGUGAUGAUGGAGUUGGUAAAAAAGGCAUCGGCUGUGUAACUGUAUGUCUAAGUCAGGCACCAUUGAGAAAAGAGAGGGGUCUAAAAGAGGUGGGGAGGGGGGCUAAGACUGAAUAAAAAGAAAAUCGAUUGGUGGUUCAUUUCUUUAGUGUUUGUAUUUUCAGCAAUCAGUGGGGAGUCUAAACCCCUCAAAGGCCACCUUUCUUUGGGGUGCUUGUGACUUUCGUUGCUUUAAAACAGUUUUCAAUUCAAUUAAAGGGAGAGUUUUAACUUUAAUUGUGGAAUAGUUACUAUUGUCUGGCAAUGUUGACUGGUUAUGAUUUCUGACGAUUGCACAUGAUUUAUGAUAAUUUAUGAUGAUGAUUUAUGCUAAUUUUUGAUGAGUAUUGAUGAUAAUUUAUGAUGAUGAUUUAUGAAAAUUUAUGAUGAUGAUUUAUGAAAAUUUAUGAUGAUGAUUUAUGAAAAUUUAUGAUGUUGAUUUAUGAAAAUUUAUGAUGAUGGUUUAUGAAAAUUUAUGAUGAUGAUUUAUGAUUAUGAUUUGUGAUAAAUUAUGAUGAUGAUUUAUGAUAAUUUAUGAUCAUUGAUGAUGUUGUUGACUGGUUAUGAAUGGUUACAACUUUCAUUGGUGAUAAAUUAUGAUAUGGUUUAGGAUGAUCAAUUAUUAUUUAUGAUUUAAGAUAAUGAAUGAUUCACUGACUGAUGAUGAUUUUCAAUGAUUGAUUAUGAUAAUUAUGAUUGUUAUGAUUGAUGAUGAUUUGUGAUUGGUUGCAAUGAUAUACUGGCUGAUGUUAGUUGAUGUUCAUUAUGCUUAUUAAUGAUGAUGAUGAUGAUGAUGCUUAUUAAUUGUAACCAUAUAGAUUGAUGAUGGUGGUGAUAAUUGGAUGGUGCUAAUAAUGACAAUGUUUGUAAGCUGCAGCGUUUCCAACAAUAACUUGCGUCUAACAAAUGUAUACUAAAUCAAAAAACUUCAAAAAGUAGAAACAAAAUCUUGUUAGGGAACACAAGUUUGUCUUUAUCUGUUCCACUCCAGAAAACUGGAUUGACAUCAUGUUAAACAACACCAGGUUUUG